AUUGAACGCUGGCGGCAGGCUUAACACAUGCAAGUCGAGCGAGCGGCGGACGGGUGAGUAAUGUCUGGGAACCUGCCUGAUGGAGGGGGAUAACUACUGGAAACGGUAGCUAAUACCGCAUACCAUCAGAUGUACCCAUAUGGGAUUAGCUAGUAGGUGGGGUAACGGCUCACCUAGGCGACGAUCCCUAGCUGGUCUGAGAGGAUGACCAGCCACACUGGAACUGAGACACGGCCCAGACUCCUACGGGAGGCAGCAGUGGGGAAUAUUGCACAAUGGGCGCAAGCCUGAUGCAGCCAUGCCGCGUGUAUGAAGAAGGCCUUCGGGUUGUAAAGUACUUUCAGUCGGGAGGCGUUACCGACAGAAGAAGCACCGGCUAACUCCGUGCCAGCAGCCGCGGUAAUUC
Molecule: ribosomal RNA, 406 nt
Filed under: uncultured bacterium
Lineage: Bacteria
Description: partial 16S ribosomal RNA
Rfam family: Bacterial small subunit ribosomal RNA
Source: RNAcentral